GAUGAAGAACGCAGCGAAAUGCGAUAAGUAAUGUGAAUUGCAGAAUUCAGUGAAUCAUCGAAUCUCUGAACGCACAUUGCGCCCGCCAGUAUUCUGGCGGGCAUGCCUGUUCGAGCGUCAUUACAACCCUCAGGCCCCCGGGCCUGGCGUUGGGGAUCGGCGGAGCCCCCCGUGGGCACACGCCGUCCCCCAAAUACAGUGGCGGUCCCGCCGCAGCUUCCAUCGCGUAGUAGCUAACACCUCGCGACUGGAGAGCGGCGCGGCCACGCCGUAAAACACCCAACUCUUCUGAAGUUGACCUCGAAUCAGGUAGGAAUACCCGCUGAACUUAAGCAUAUCAAUAAGCGGAGGA
RNAcentral lists this unclassified non-coding RNA (352 nucleotides) under soil metagenome. Its description in RNAcentral is "partial contains 5.8S ribosomal RNA, internal transcribed spacer 2, and large subunit ribosomal RNA". The stretch from base 1 to 120 matches the Rfam family "5.8S ribosomal RNA", at positions 35 to 154 of the family's 154-position model. The record is from RNAcentral.